RNAcentral lists this ribosomal RNA (468 nucleotides) under uncultured bacterium. RNAcentral describes it as "partial 16S ribosomal RNA". It matches the Rfam family "Bacterial small subunit ribosomal RNA", at positions 28 to 507 of the family's 1533-position model. The record is from RNAcentral.
GACGAACGCUGGCGGCGUGCUUAACACAUGCAAGUCGAACGGAAAGGCCCUGCUUUUGUGGGGUGCUCGAGUGGCGAACGGGUGAGUAACACGUGAGUAACCUGCCCUUGACUUUGGGAUAACUUCAGGAAACUGGGGCUAAUACCGGAUAGGAGCUCCUGCUGCAUGGUGGGGGGUGGAAAGUUUCGGCGGUUGGGGAUGGACUCGCGGCUUAUCAGCUUGUUGGUGGGGUAGUGGCUUACCAAGGCUUUGACGGGUAGCCGGCCUGAGAGGGUGACCGGCCACAUUGGGACUGAGAUACGGCCCAGACUCCUACGGGAGGCAGCAGUGGGGAAUAUUGCACAAUGGGCGGAAGCCUGAUGCAGCAACGCCGCGUGCGGGAUGCCGGCCUUCGGGUUGUAAACCGCUUUCGCCUGUGACGAAGCGUGAGUGACGGUAAUGGGUAAAGAAGCACCGGCUAACUACGUG